GUCCACGCCGUAAACGAUGAGUGCUGUGUGUCUUGGGUAUUGACCCCCGAGGCGCCGUAGCUAACGCGUUAAGCACUCCGCCUGGGGAGUACGGUCGCAAGACUAAAACUCAAAGGAAUUGACGGGGGCCCCGCACAAGCGGUGGAGCAUGUGGUUUAAUUCGACGCAACGCGCAGAACCUUACCAGGGCUAGAAAAGGUAGGAAUCCGGGAGAAAUCUUGGAGUGCUCGCAAGAGAGCCUGCAUCCAGGUGCUGCAUGGCUGUCGU
RNAcentral lists this ribosomal RNA (267 nucleotides) under uncultured bacterium. RNAcentral describes it as "partial 16S ribosomal RNA". It matches the Rfam family "Bacterial small subunit ribosomal RNA", at positions 793 to 1055 of the family's 1533-position model. The record is from RNAcentral.